UAGGGAGGUGGAGAAAGUGAGUGUUGUGUGACAGACCUAUUCCAGGGGAGACCCAACAUACUUGUCCAUUCAGCCCAGAGAGGGAACUUGGGGCAGACCAAAAUACUGAUAUCACCAACAUCCACCUUGGUGAACCAAUGAGUUUUUUAAGAAGUUGUUUACAGGAAUAUGAUAAGGAGUUACUGAUGGGAGCAGAAAUAGCCUCAAAGACAGCUUGGUCGACAAGGUUUACCCCCUGCAUGGGUGACAGUUCACAAAAGCUCAGAACCUGGAUUGCACUGACAGCCUGCAGGCAGCUUAACAGGUUUCAGCAUGUUCUUUCCAAGUGACUAAUCUGGACUGCUUCUCUCAGGCAGGCCAGCUGGUUUCUACUGCUUACAGACUUCUGGACUAGUCUCAAGUCUUCUCUGAAGCAUGGGUCUCUUAGAGAGGGGGAGCCUCUGAGGGGAACUCUCCAUUGUUUUCUCCAGCCCUUGGACCUUAGUGAAUCUGGUCAGUUUCAGGGACUUCCUGAAACUCUUGAGUUGUGUGCUUACAUUCCUGCUUAAAGAGCUUUCCUGGAGGAUGGAACAUUUGAAUCUAGGAUGAAACUUAAGACAAAAAUGGGUAUGAAGGCAAGACUGCAACAGGGAUGGGGCUACCCACCAUCUAUCAGGCUAGACUCUGUGUACUUAAGUGACAGCCCAAGGAGCACAUUCUGUCUACGCACAUGCAGCUUACUAGGAAAGUGUCUCCAGCAGAGUGUUCCUCCACAAAGCCUCUUGGUGGAAGGGAGUCUGAGCUGAGCCAGGUCAGAAUUACAUUUUAAUUAAAGAAGAGAAAUGUAGCAUUGUUUAUAAGUUCUCUCUCAUUCAUCCAGGUAGGUUUGGGCUGUUAAGUGUGAGGAACGAUAAUGCAUUCUCCCCCCCACCCCCACCCCCCCACCCCCAUAAGUAAUCUUAGCUGGUGUUUGGGAGGGUUGUUCUGGUUCCUUCUGAGUCUCCGUGGCAUCACCUGAGCAGCUCUGUACUUGGCUCUGUGGUGGUCCCUGUGUGUCUGUAUGGGAUGCUGUUGCAGAUGUUGAGAUGAAGCCCAGCUCCCCGGUUUAUCUGGGCCUUCUGCGUACUUAGCUCAGGAAACUGUGUCAUAAGAAAUGCAGUGCUGGGGCCUGGAGAGAUGAUUCAGCAGUUAAGAGCACUGACUGCUCUUCCGAAGGUCCUGAGUUCAAAUCCCGGCAACCACAUGGUGGCUCAUAACCAUCUGUAAUGGAUCUGACACCCUCUUCUGGUGCGUCUGAAGACAGCUACAGCGUACUGACAUAUAAUAAAUAAAUCUUAGGGGCUGAGUGAGUGGGGGCAGGAGUGGGGCUGGAUGAGCAGAGGUCGUGAGUUCAAUUCCCAGCAGCCACAUGAUGCCUCAGAACCAUCUCUACAGCUACAGUGUACUCAUGCAUAAGAUAAAUAAAUCUUU
This 1449-nucleotide long non-coding RNA is filed under the name Mus musculus (house mouse). Its description in RNAcentral is "long non-coding RNA chr10:70156668-70158117". Lineage: Eukaryota; Metazoa; Chordata; Mammalia; Rodentia; Muridae. The record is from RNAcentral.